UACGUAGGGCGCAAGCGUUGUCCGGAAUUAUUGGGCGUAAAGAGCUCGUAGGCGGCCUGUUACGUCUGCUGUGAAAUCCCGGGGCUUAACCCCGGGCCUGCAGUGGAUACGGGCAGGCUAGAGGCAGGCAGGGGAGAACGGAAUUCCCGGUGUAGCGGUGAAAUGCGCAGAUAUCAGGAAGAACACCAGUGGCGAAGGCGAGUCUCUGGACGACUCCUGACACUGAGGCACGAAAGCCAGGGGAGCAAACAGG
This 253-nucleotide ribosomal RNA is filed under the name uncultured bacterium. RNAcentral's name for it is "partial 16S ribosomal RNA". It matches the Rfam family "Bacterial small subunit ribosomal RNA", at positions 524 to 776 of the family's 1533-position model. The record is from RNAcentral.